UACGGAGGGUGCAAGCGUUGUUCGGAAUUAUUGGGCGUAAAGGGCGCGUAGGCGGUUGUGAAAGUCAGAUGUGAAAUACUUCGGCUCAACUGAAGAACUGCAUCUGAAACUUCAUAACUCGAGUACUGAAGAGGGAAAUGGAAUUCCUGGUGUAGAGGUGAAAUUCGUAGAUAUCAGGAGGAACACCAGUGGCGAAGGCGAUUUCCUGGUCAGAUACUGACGCUGAGGCGCGAAAGUGUGGGGAGCAAACAGG
Molecule: ribosomal RNA, 253 nt
Filed under: uncultured Syntrophorhabdus sp.
Lineage: Bacteria; Pseudomonadati; Thermodesulfobacteriota; Syntrophorhabdia; Syntrophorhabdales; Syntrophorhabdaceae
Description: partial 16S ribosomal RNA
Rfam family: Bacterial small subunit ribosomal RNA
Source: RNAcentral